This 450-nucleotide ribosomal RNA is filed under the name Citrobacter freundii. Its description in RNAcentral is "bacterial SSU rRNA". It matches the Rfam family "Bacterial small subunit ribosomal RNA", at positions 215 to 657 of the family's 1533-position model. The record is from RNAcentral. Lineage: Bacteria; Pseudomonadati; Pseudomonadota; Gammaproteobacteria; Enterobacterales; Enterobacteriaceae.
UUGCCAUCGGAUGUGCCCAGAUGGGAUUAGCUAGUAGGUGGGGUAACGGCUCACCUAGGCGACGAUCCCUAGCUGGUCUGAGAGGAUGACCAGCCACACUGGAACUGAGACACGGUCCAGACUCCUACGGGAGGCAGCAGUGGGGAAUAUUGCACAAUGGGCGCAAGCCUGAUGCAGCCAUGCCGCGUGUAUGAAGAAGGCCUUCGGGUUGUAAAGUACUUUCAGCGAGGAGGAAGGUGUUGUGGUUAAUAACCGCAGCAAUUGACGUUACUCGCAGAAGAAGCACCGGCUAACUCCGUGCCAGCAGCCGCGGUAAUACGGAGGGUGCAAGCGUUAAUCGGAAUUACUGGGCGUAAAGCGCACGCAGGCGGUCUGUCAAGUCGGAUGUGAAAUCCCCGGGCUCAACCUGGGAACUGCAUCCGAAACUGGCAGGCUAGAGUCUUAAUUUGG